GUACGGGAGGCAGCAGUGAGGAAUAUUGCACAAUGGGCGCAAGCCUGAUGCAGCAACGCCGCGUGCGGGACGAAGGCCUUCGGGUCGUAAACCGCUUUUCUGAGGGACGAGACAGGACGGUACCUCAGGAAUAAGUCUCGGCUAACUACGUGCCAGCAGCCGCGGUAAAACGUAGGAGGCGAGCGUUAUCCGGAUUUACUGGGCGUAAAGCGCACGCAGGCGGCCGAGUGAGUCGGACGUGAAAGCUCCUGGCUUAACUGGGAGAGGCCGUUCGAUACUGCUCGGCUUGAGGUUGGGAGAGGGGUGCGGAAUUCCCGGUGUAGUGGUGGAAUGCGUAGAUAUCGGGAGGAACACCAGUGGCGAAGGCGGCACCCUGGCCCACACCUGACGCUGAGGUGCGAAAGCGUGGGUAGCAAACAGGAUUAGAUACCCCGGU
This 436-nucleotide ribosomal RNA is filed under the name uncultured bacterium. RNAcentral's name for it is "bacterial SSU rRNA". It matches the Rfam family "Bacterial small subunit ribosomal RNA", at positions 339 to 791 of the family's 1533-position model. The record is from RNAcentral.